Molecule: long non-coding RNA, 3439 nt
Organism: Anolis carolinensis (green anole)
Lineage: Eukaryota; Metazoa; Chordata; Lepidosauria; Squamata; Anolidae
Source: Ensembl
AUGUUCAUUCUCUGUAACCUUUUCAGCCUUAUGAGCCCACCAGUUCUUUGUCGCAGGCAGAUGGCAUUUGUAGCACAAGUUCCAAUGAAUCAUCUGAGCAACGGUGUUAUGCCUCUGCUUGUAGUCUGUCUGUGUGAUCUUCUUGCAGCAGCUGAGGAUGUGAUCUAUUGUUUCAUCUGCUUCCUUGCAGAGUCUACAUUUGGGAUCUGUCGUCGACUUUUCAAUUUUGGCUUUGAUGGCAUUGGUUCCAAUGGCUUGUUCUUGGGCUGCCAGAAUCAGGUCCUCCGUCUCCUUUUUCAAAGUUCCAUUUGUGAGCCACAGCCAUGUUUUUUCUUUGUCAAUUUGGAACAGUCCAUGGAGAGCCUUCUUUCGCCAGUUUUCUCUUCUGCUCUGGAUUGUGUUUUUACGCUUUCAUCAUAUGGUUUAACAAUCUGGAGGACGCCUGCUCUCGAUCACUGUUUGGUACCAUGGGUUUUGAUGCCGUCUCUCAUCAGUCCAUACCUAUGUUUUAAGUCCAAGUGUCCUCUCAGCUUCACGUUUGCCUUGUUGCAAUGAGGGAGAAGGACUUCUUUGCAAUAGAUUCCAUUCAUAAAAUUAUCUAAAAUAAUUUAUAUCAUUGCCUUCAUGCUAUGUGUAUAAUAUGUAUAUGAAACAUAAAUAAAAUUUGCAUUUAGACUUGGGUCCUUUCUCCAAAAUAUUUCAUUGUGUAUAUAUGUGUAAAUUCAGGCAUUCCAACAUCUGGAAAAUAAUCUAAAUUCAAAGCACUUUUGUGUAUUUAAAUAUGGGAUACUCAACCUGUGUUAGGUUUUAAUUCCUGUAAUGUUAGUGCUGUAACAACUCAUGUUGUUAGCUGCCUUUGGUCCCACUUGAGAGAAAUGAGGGCUAUGCAUUAAUUCAUUAAUUAAGUACUGUAUGGGUGUGUUCUUUUAAGCAAUGUAUAAUUUGUAAGAUAUAAACAACAUAAUAAUAAAUACAAUGUAUAAUAAAUGUUCCCCCUUCUAAUAUACAACAUAUUCAGUGUCUGUUGAACACGCAGAGAUAAUGUCACAGCUGUUGAUUUCAUUUCCACCAAGGCAAUUAUCAGCAACUAAAGCAAAAUUUAACUUGUUCCUUUCUGAAGUACAAGAGACUGAAUCAGAAACAAAGAAAGGUGAGAACAAAUUGCAGACCUAAGCUCUCUUGUGUUUUAAGUGUUUAAUGCACUUACUACCUAAACACGAAAUACAACAGUAAAAUCUCUUUCAAGGUUAUUGGGGGAAAGGAGUGUGAUUAAUCUGCCACUUGAAACUGACUCUAAUCUAUAAUGAUUUUUCUGUAUGGUGGCAUGCAUGUUCUGUGACAUUUUGGAUAGAUAAAGGAUGGUGUCUCUACACCAAACAAAUGUGGCUCUUGCUAUCAGAUCAAUGUGGACAGACUUAGAGGCCUCUUGGGGGGCAACUGAUAUGUAAUGGAUUGUAUGACAAUAGAUGAUAGAAGCAGAGCCAGUGUUAUCUCUGUAUCAGAGAUUAAAUGGGUGCUCACACAGCUGAUUAACCAGGGAAAACCUAGCAUCUUUUCCAUGCUUUUUGUCAUCAGAGCAGGGUUGAAAAACGAAUUAGUAACACAGUCUCUCAGUAGUGGAUAUUUAAAUAGAUUUUCUUUCAACUCAAAGGUUUCUCCAAGUUCAGCCAAUGAAUCCAUGAUUUCUGUUAGCAGUGUUAGGGCCUUUCGACACAAUCACCCCAGGUGCGCUAUCGCUGAAUUUGUGUCAAACUUGGCAAAGUUGAUGGCAUAUCUAGGUAUGCUAAGGUGAAAGAACAGUAGAAUCACAGCAGUAAGUGUCAAGAAGAAAGCAACACAGACCUUUGGUAGGGAAUUUGCUGGUAUAUCAUCAGCAGUCAAGGUCACAGGAACUAAAGAAUGAACAUGACCUGGUGGAACAAUCAAAUUGGAGACUGUGUCAUAUUAUUUUUCUAACAUCUUUAACCUCAGAUUAACUUGGAAGACAAAGCUGGAGGUACAAUUAGUAGAGAUCAGGGAUAGAAUGACAGUUUGGAUAGAUGGUGUCCUGCCCACCUAAUUCUAGAAUCUCCUGCUAACCAUGGGGUACAAAGUAUACUUUGUACAAGGGAUGUAGUAAAUUAGAUAUACAGUAGAGUCUCACUUAUCCAACAUAAAUGGGCCAGCAGAAUAUUGGAUAAGCAAAAAUGUUGGAUAAUAAGGAGGGAUUAAGGAAAAGCCUAUUAAAUGCCAAAUUAAAUUAUGAUUUUACAAAUUAAGCACCAAAACAUCAUAUUUUACAACAAAUGGACAGAAAAGCAGUUUAAUACACGGUAACGUUAUGUAGUAAUUACUGUAGUUAUGAAUUUAGCACCAAAACAUCACAAUGUAUUGAAAAUAUUGACUACAAAAAGGCAGACUGAGUUGGAUAAUCCAGAACUACUGUAGUUGCCUCUGGUGCCUCCACUCCACUAUCUCCAAUUGGCCUCAGGUGCCAUUGGUUGAAAGUCACAAUCUGGAACCUCUUAAAGCAGUUGCACUGUGGAACAGUGUUGUGGAGUACUUAGGUCAGGAAAAACCAAGAUCAAGAACUACAAAAUCUAGCCAAGUAUCUAGAAAAAGGGGAACUCCAUGAGCACGCAGAAGGUCAAAUGAGCUCUUGAAGCUUGUGCUAAAACAAAAGUUUGUCCUGGAACUUCAAAUACUUCUAUCUCAUCCUGGUCAGGCAAAAACAAUGGGGUUUCAGGAGUUAUAGGAAAUACUGAGAAGAAAGAAUGAAGGAAACAGGAAAAAGCUCAAUGUUGAAGAUACAGACUCAAAAGACAAUUACCACUAUCAUUAUCACCACUGUCAUGACUAAUACUUAAAACAAUAUUCACAUUAUUUUAGUUUUGGAAAUGUGCAGGAAGUUGUUACCAAACACAUAGUUGCUAUUGCCUUUGCUGUUAGUAUGAUUACUGACAUGUCUGGAACAGGUCUGGGGCCAGUAGUCAAUUAUAUUAUACACAGAAGCUGGCCUCCAACCACUAUGUGGGCUUUUUCCCAUUUCCCGGAGUGAUGUGCAGCACCAGCACUCCGGAGGCAUAACAGGUAAAAAAAGGGGGGAAGUGACAGCAGUAGAGGUAAUCAAUUACUGCCCCAGGGAGGUCAAUUGGCCAGCCAUGCCCUUGGGGUGUUUUUAGCAGCCCCCCCCCAUUCCGAAUGGAGCUGAUUUUACCAGUGCAAUGUGGUUUACAUUUGUAGCUCACUGAAGUGCAUUAAGAGGUUUAACUCUGACUUCCCCCAACUUUAUUUAAUGCACUUUACUGGCCUUGAUUUAUGCUGCAGUGCAUUUUGGCAGUAUGCAUUUUGUAGCUGCUGCAGUUUCAAGUCGGCUUGAAGCUGCAAUAAAUGAUCAGAGUAGAUGUGUCCAAAGGCACAUCACAAUAGCAGUUAAGGUCAUGAUUCAGUUCCAUCUGGU